This 490-nucleotide ribosomal RNA is filed under the name uncultured bacterium. Its description in RNAcentral is "partial 16S ribosomal RNA". It matches the Rfam family "Bacterial small subunit ribosomal RNA", at positions 29 to 507 of the family's 1533-position model. The record is from RNAcentral.
AUUGAACGCUGGCGGCAUGCUUUACACAUGCAAGUCGGACGGCAGCACAGAGAAGCUUGCUUCUUGGGUGGCGAGUGGCGAACGGGUGAGUAAUAUAUCGGAACGUACCGAGUAAUGGGGGAUAACUAAUCGAAAGAUUAGCUAAUACCGCAUAUUCUCUGAGGAGGAAAGCAGGGGACCUUCGGGCCUUGCGUUAUUCGAGCGGCCGAUAUCUGAUUAGCUAGUUGGUGGGGUAAAGGCCUACCAAGGCGACGAUCAGUAGCGGGUCUGAGAGGAUGAUACCGCGCACGGGAAGUGCGCCGGGCCCAAGUCGCCGGGGGGGGGGGCCAGGGGGGAUUUGUGGACAGGGGUGGAGAGGAUGGCCCAGCCGGCGGGGGGGUGAAAAAGGGGCGUCGUGUUUGGAAAGGAUUUUUUCGGGAAAAAAAAAGGUUUUUGCUAAUACGGAGCGGGAAUGAGGGUACGUGAAAAAGAGGCCCCGGCUAACUACGUG